AGUAACACGUGGGUAACCUGCCUGUAAGACUGGGAUAACUCCGGGAAACCGGGGCUAAUACCGGAUGGUUGUUUGAACCGCAUGGUUMAAACAUAAAAGGUGGCUUYGGCUACCACUUACAGAUGGACCCGCGGCGCAUUAGCUAGUUGGUGAGGUAACGGCUCACCAAGGCAACGAUGCGUAGCCGACCUGAGAGGGUGAUCGGCCACACUGGGACUGAGACACGGCCCAGACUCUACGGGAGGCAGCAGUAGGGAAUCUUCCGCAAUGGACGAAAGUCUGACGGAGCAACGCCGCGUGAGUGAUGAAGGUUUUCGGAYCGUAAAGCUCUGUUGUUAGGGAAGAACAAGUACCGUUCGAAUAGGGSGUACCUUGACGGUACCUAACCAGAAAGCCACGGCUAACUACGUGCCAGCAGCCGCGGUAAUACGUAGGUGGCAAGCGUUGUCCGGAAUUAUUGGGCGUAAAGGGCUCGCAGGCGGUUUCUUAAGUCUGAUGUGAAAGCCCCCGGCUCAACCGGGGAGGGUCAUUGGAAACUGGGGAACUUGAGUGCAGAAGAGGAGAGUGGAAUUCCACGUGUAGCGGUGAAAUGCGUAGAGAUGUGGAGGAACACCAGUGGCGAAGGCGACUCUCUGGUCUGUAACUGACGCUGAGGAGCGAAAGCGUGGGGAGCGAACAGGAUUAGAUACCCUGGUAGUCCACGCCGUAAACGAUGAGUGCUAAGUGUUAGGGGGUUUCCGCCCCUUAGUGCUGCACKAACGCAUUAAGCACUCCGCCUGGGG
This 782-nucleotide ribosomal RNA is filed under the name Bacillus subtilis. RNAcentral describes it as "bacterial SSU rRNA". It matches the Rfam family "Bacterial small subunit ribosomal RNA", at positions 109 to 878 of the family's 1533-position model. The record is from RNAcentral. Lineage: Bacteria; Bacillati; Bacillota; Bacilli; Caryophanales; Bacillaceae.